CUCGUUUCACAUGGCGAGCUCCGUGUGCUUCAGCUGUGUGAAUUCCAUCGUCUCUCCGUCCACUUCCACCGCUCCCAUUCGAAACCCUAGACUUCCACUCAUCUCUCUAAAACCCUCUGCAGCUCGUUGCGUCAGCGUGAAGGCAACGGAGAGUGACAAGAAACCUAAAGUUAAUAGCAUAGUUUGCCCUGAAUGUGAAGGGAAUGGUGCAAUUUUGUGCAAGCAGUGUAAAGGAACAGCGGUGAAUUCCGUUGAUCACUUCAAUGGUCAGUUCAAAGCCGGUGCGUUAUGUUGGCUUUGCAGAGGCAAGCGAGAAAUAUUAUGUGGAGACUGCAACGGUGCUGGAUUUCUGGGAGGUUUUAUGAGUACUUUCGACGAAUAGAUUAAGGUUUCAUUUAGAUGCUUCGUUCUUUAAUCAUAUUCCUCGUACUUUUAAUAUUAUAUUUCAAUCAGAUUUCAGUUUUCUCAUUGUGAUAUGCUAUGUAAGAGAUACUAAAUAGCGUCUCUAAGGACACAACAGUAAUAUUUUGG
Molecule: unclassified non-coding RNA, 531 nt
Filed under: Hevea brasiliensis (rubber tree)
Lineage: Eukaryota; Viridiplantae; Streptophyta; Magnoliopsida; Malpighiales; Euphorbiaceae
Source: RNAcentral